This 465-nucleotide ribosomal RNA is filed under the name uncultured bacterium. Its description in RNAcentral is "bacterial SSU rRNA". It matches the Rfam family "Bacterial small subunit ribosomal RNA", at positions 329 to 792 of the family's 1533-position model. The record is from RNAcentral.
CACCAGACUCCUACGGGAGGCAGCAGUGAGGAAUAUUGGUCAAUGGGCGCGAGCCUGAACCAGCCAAGUCGCGUGAGGGAAGACGGCCCUACGGGUUGUAAACCUCUUUUGUCGGGGAGCAAAGCGAGUCACGUGUGACUCAUUGAGAGUACCCGAAGAAAAAGCAUCGGCUAACUCCGUGCCAGCAGCCGCGGUAAUACGGAGGAUGCGAGCGUUAUUCGGAUUUAUUGGGUUUAAAGGGUGCGUAGGCGGACUGGAAAGUCAGCGGUAAAAUCGAGAGGCUCACCCUCUUUCCGCCGUUGAAACUGUCGGUCUUGAGUGGGCGAGAAGUAUGCGGAAUGCGUGGUGUAGCGGUGAAAUGCAUAGAUAUCACGCAGAACUCCGAUUGCGAAGGCAGCAUACCGGCGCCCGACUGACGCUGAGGCACGAAAGCGUGGGUAUCGAACAGGAUUAGAUACCCGUGUA